Molecule: ribosomal RNA, 253 nt
Filed under: uncultured bacterium
Lineage: Bacteria
Description: partial 16S ribosomal RNA
Rfam family: Bacterial small subunit ribosomal RNA
Source: RNAcentral
UACGUAGGGGGCAAGCGUUGUCCGGAGUUAUUGGGCGUAAAGGGCGCGUAGGCGGCAAUUCAAGUCAUCUGUGAAAUCUCCGGGCUUAACUCGGAACGGUCAGAUGAUACUGCUUUGCUAGAGUGCGGAAGGGGCAAUCGGAAUUCUCGGUGUAGCGGUGAAAUGCGUAGAUAUCGAGAGGAACACCAGAGGUGAAGGCGGUUCUCUGGGACGGUACUGACGCUGCGACGCGAAAGCGUGGGGAGCGAACAGG